AAGUCGUAACAAGGUUUCCGUAGGUGAACCUGCGGAAGGAUCAUUACAUAUUGGUCAAAAGAAUAGUUUGAAAAAGGCUAUUUUUUUUUGACUUAAAAAACUUAUCCACAGUGUGGGAAAUGUCUUCUAACGCUUGUGCCUGGUUCAGUCUAGUGCUGCCACUUGAGUUUAUCCUUAGAUCAAGGGAUCUUUGGGUAGUUGUUCAUUAUUUUCUCUCUCUUUUUAGGGGGGGAGAUUAAUGAUGGGCACCUCUUGUAAAGGGGAUAAGAUUACUUUUAUUAUACUAAAUUUUACUGAACUGAUAGACCAUAAAUCUAUGGUUGUUUUUUAUUAUAAUUAAAAAAAAAAAACAACUUUCAGCAAUGGAUCUCUCGGCUUUC
This 380-nucleotide unclassified non-coding RNA is filed under the name Cunninghamella elegans. RNAcentral describes it as "partial internal transcribed spacer region". The stretch from base 1 to 46 matches the Rfam family "Eukaryotic small subunit ribosomal RNA", at positions 1786 to 1831 of the family's 1831-position model. Lineage: Eukaryota; Fungi; Mucoromycota; Mucoromycetes; Mucorales; Cunninghamellaceae. The record is from RNAcentral.